This 437-nucleotide ribosomal RNA is filed under the name uncultured bacterium. Its description in RNAcentral is "bacterial SSU rRNA". It matches the Rfam family "Bacterial small subunit ribosomal RNA", at positions 958 to 1398 of the family's 1533-position model. The record is from RNAcentral.
AACGCGAAGAACCUUACCCAGACUUGACAUGCAGAGGACGAUAGUAGAAUAUUAUUUCCCUUCGGGCCUUUGCACAGGUGCUGCAUGGCUGUCGUCAGCUCGUGCCGUGAGGUGUUUGGUUAAGUCCAGCAACGAGCGCAACCCUUAUCAUUAGUUGCCAGCAUUUUAGGUGGGAACUCUAGUGAGACUGCCUGGGUUAACCAGGAGGAAGGUGAGGAUGACGUCAAGUCCGCAUGGCCCUUAUGUCUGGGGCUACACACGUACUACAAUGGUCGGUACAGAAGGCAGCGAAGCCGCGAGGUGAAGCAAAUCCCCAAAACCGAUCUCAGUUCAGAUUGUAGUCUGCAACUCGACUACAUGAAGACGGAAUUGCUAGUAAUGGCAGGUCAGCACACUGCCGUGAAUACGUUCCCGGGCCUUGUACACACCGAGACGAC